Molecule: long non-coding RNA, 8870 nt
Filed under: Brachypodium distachyon (stiff brome)
Lineage: Eukaryota; Viridiplantae; Streptophyta; Magnoliopsida; Poales; Poaceae
Description: long non-coding RNA (BDIS_LNC005753)
Source: RNAcentral
UUGACUCAAAUACCAAUCACUAAAAUGGAAUGAAAACAACCAAUUGAUACAUUGACUGCAAAUUAAAAUACUAAUCCUCACUUGACCAAACUAUGGUAACACUAACACCCAAUCACAGAGCAACUAAUACCAUCAAUCUAACAGGUCCAAAUGUAACAUACAAGUGUUUACCGUGAUAUUUCAAUGAAAUAACAUGAUUUAACUAAUGUGUGUCCCAACAAUAAAUAAAAUAGUUGUUGUUUACAAAAAGAUUCAGUUAGUUGGUUAGACAAAUUACCUGACUCCAGAAUGGUUGUCAAGUCCUCUGCGGAGGGGCUGGAGUUGCCAGACAGGUAAGCAAGCAGAUAGGCAGCGAUGAACUUCAUCCUGACCAAAUAACAAAGGAACAUAUUCAGCAAAUGUAAAUAGCCGGAAUUCUUCAAACAUCUGAUAGAACAGUAGAUAAAUAAAAUUAUCCCAGAAUCUAAUCCAUAACUAAAGGUGACGCUAGUGUACGUUAGUGCUUAGAUGAAACUACUGAACAGCCAAAAAGAAUAGUGUUCUUUCUUAAUCCGCUCAAGAAGCGAAAUUAUCUGCUCGUAAUGGAAGCCAUCUUUUUUCUGAGGAGAAAGCAAGAUAUUAAUAAUACAAUUUCCCACUAUGCCACUGGUGCCGGCCAUGUCUUAGGCUCUUAGCAAUGGGUUCUUGCAUAUGAGAUCCAAGAUACUCGCCAACAAACUAUUGCAAAUCAACUACUCCAGUAGAAUGUUCCGAUAAACUCGAAACCCCGUGACUACGAGCAACUAGUGACAAGAUCAUAGAAACGAGAUAUGCAAAAGGGCAUUAGAAUCGUUACUUGGAUCGGAGAGGGAGAGAGCUGAAGGCGCGGCGGCGGCGGAGAGAUCGAGUGGUCUUCUAGGGUUUCUGCGAGUAAGGGUUCUCGUGGGAGCGGCGGAGCAACUUAUUUAUAUAGCCUGUGACUGCGGCGGGCUGCGAUCUGCACCGUCCGUCUCUGCCAUUGGUCCGGCCCCUGUUGUCCCAGCCGUUGAUAAAUCCGAUCGACGCCUCCUGAUAGAGGAGUAAAUUAUGGGCCUGGGUGCCUAAAUACAUGGCCGAGUUGUAACUUUGCAACUUUAAUGGGCUUUUUAGCCGUUUUUCGAAGCCCAUUAACCGUUACUCCUGGUCUUGUCGUGGCAUGAGAAAGCCCACGAGUACGCCAUGCCAUAAACCAUUUCUUCCUCGUUCCUCCGCUUCUCCCCAGCGCACCGUUGGUUGGUUGCCACGACAAGCGCGGCCUAAUCGGACGAGGUCCGGUGCUAGAUAUACCCGCCGGCACUACGCCGACGGCUGACAGUCUGAAACGUAGGUAGCGCCCUCCAGGCUUGCAAAUCAAUGAUAUUGAGCCAUUUUGCCAAGAUGAAAUUGUGCUAUACCAACAAUGUGCUGAAAAAAGGGUCAGUUAUAUUACCACCUGAAGCUGCAGCUUUCAAAUCCAUUUUCAUGUUUAGCUGAUUGUUAUUUCCUGUCUUAUUUUUUUACAGGACAAGGAAAUAAGGGGGCGUCUGCAGGAUAGUGAAUAUAAACUGGGUUUCUCGAUGCCCCUUGAAGAAGCAAAGGAAAGAGUCACUCAACUCCAGUCAGAGGUCACACUGCUUGAAAGGUAACGUGGGUGGUGAUGCCUUUUGUCCUACAUGUAUUAUCAUACCAUCAUUUCGUGAUUACAAGCGGGUUAAUUUUUCAAGUUCCAAGAUGAACCUUCCAUUAGAAUUUUGUGAAACUGGAGUAAAAUGAUCCACAGCUUGGACAUACAUAACUAUCUCUUACACUCAGGGGUGUCUUCAAAUCGGGAAAAUAUCAGGUGAAAACAACCAUUGGAUGAAAACCUAAAAACUCUCGUCCUGAGCCGUUGGAUCGAAAAUUCACGGCCCAGAUCUAAGGUGGGAUUGGAACCAACAACUUAAAGACGAUUUUACACAAAUUCCCCUGAUGUUACCUCCGCUUACAAUGCAUCGUAGGAAUCCCCGUUCCCUCACCCCUCCCGUCCCAUUACAUCCCCAAUUCGGAGCUGACUGGAGACCACCGGCGAAGUCCCAACAGCGACCAACUGGAGCGCCGCUUCGCAGGCGCGCAACGGCGACUAGAGGCCGUAGUGUCUCCACGAAGGGAUCGCACCGCUAGCGGCGGCGACGCUCACCCCACGCCGCGGCAGCGGCGACCCUGACUACAGGUGAUGGCGCGGGCGGCCCUGACUCCAGGUGCUGGCGCGGGCGACGGCGGCGCUGAGUUCUCUGUGAUGACUACCAACAUGGCCCGUCGACCUGGACCUCCGCAAUGCCGUCUCUACUACCCAGCGGUGCACUAGGCGAGGCCACGAGGGAGAGAUAGAAGCCUCGACGGUGCCCCCAUGGCUCGGCGUCAAGUCGGCUUGAUUUCCCUGCAGUGGCACCAGCCCCACGCGACCGGAAACGCGCGACGCUGACCCAGGCGAUGACGAAGCUGAACCUGUUGUCUUCUUGCUUUUAUCUGAACUUGAUGUCAUCUGAACUUGUGUUGGCUGGAGAGUACUCUAGAAGGUGGUCGGCGAAGGGACAGUGGUCACGUUCGAGGUCGACAUAAGGCGGGCGAUCACGGCCGGCGUCCGGCGAGUGCUCCGUCCGCCCGUCGGCGUCUGACGAAGGCCCAGUGUGCCUGAACGUGGCCGGCGGUGGACGCGCGCUACAUAACGGGAUUUAUGGACGGCGUGGAAGAGGGCGCGUUGUGGGGGUCGUCAAAGAGGAAGGAAGACGUGCGGUGACGCUCCGGUGCUACGAAACACGGAUACGGCUCUGAACCGGCGUAUUUGUAUCGGAUACUGCAUGGAUACGGGAUACGCCCGGAUACUCCCAAAACGUAUUUUGCCGUAUCGGAUUAUUUUUCGAUCUAAAAUAAUUAAAAAAAAUAUCUGAUACGUGAGGAAUACCUCCCGAUACUUGUGGGAUACGAGAAACUGAACACCAGAAGAAGCACAUCGGUCGUCGAUCUAUCCUACCAAUCUCCCUUCUCUGUUCGGGCAGAAUGGUUGAUUGAUUUCUUGACUUAUCUUCUCCAGUUCUCUCUUUCUCAGCCCAGGUCAUCCAUGGCAAGAUGAGCGUCAGCUUUAGUUGGGAGCUCGAGCUCGAGCACUACAGAGAACUGGGGAACAAUCUGGCAAUGCAGUACCAUUUUUGACUACUUCUCAUAUAAAAAUCUUUAUUUUCUAUAUUUUUUAUUAUUUAACAUAUACAUAGAAACGUAUCCCCGUAUCUAUGUUUUUCAAAAAUUGGCAUAUCGCGGUAUCCCCGUAUCGCGUAUCCGAUACGUAUCAACGUACCCGUGCUUCCUAGCUCCAGUGCGCUCGAUUGGAGGUUGACGAUGACGCAUGGAUCUCACAAAGUCAAGAUCGAUUGGAAGACAGAUCGUCGCUUCUCGUUUCCUUGUUGUGCAGUUGAGAGUACCAAUCAUCACCAAAAGACAGGAGGUUUAAUGUAAAAUCACGUUUAAGUUGUUGGUUCCAAUCUUGCCUUAGAUCUGGGCUGUGAAUUUUCGAUCCAACGGCUCAGGACGAGAGUUUUCAGGUUUUCACCUAAUGGCCGUUUUCACAUGAUAUUUCCCCCUUCAAAUCAGCACUAGUAACAAGAUAAAGAGUGUGAGUAAGUGUUACUCCGUAUUUGAUAGGAGCAUGUCAAUUGUAGAUUUCCUUUACUCCUUGCAUAUCUUGAAUUAAUCCAACUUUGUAGUUAUCUCUACCUAUUAUAUGGAGUACAUAACAAUUUUAAAAGCCUCACCAAUAUCAACUAUAUGUAGUACAUAACAUGAGUUGAAAUUCUGAAUCCUGUUACCUGUUACCCUCUUCGUUUGAGGCCUAGCCGCGACCCAGCCGCACCCCCAAACGACGGCCCCCAAAAAAUACAAUUCAACCAUAGUUUUGCCGCCACUUCAUAGGCUGGCCCAAAUCACCAAAUCGCCCAAAUUGAUCACAAGUCUCGGCGAACAAAAUAACAUCAAACUAUUAAAUAAAAUAAAAUCACUCGGCCUGAUCGUCAUCCGCCGGAGCUGAAGGCACGUCCAAGCUCGCCGGUGGUGCAGAAGUGGCCGGAGGAGCUGUUUCGGGUGGUGAUGGCGUAGAGGGGCCCGGUGCUGUUGUGUCGGGUGCCGAUGGCGGAGUCGAUGACGCCGGCGCUCUCGGUUCGGCCGAAAUGAGCCUGCGUUGGCAAUCGUACCACGCCUUCACCUCGGCGUCCAUGCCGGUGGUGUCGCACGUCAAGAUCAACUAGUCCUCCCGUCUCUUCUUCGCCACAACGUUCGCCUUGAGGAUCUCGAGCUUGUCAUCUUGCUUCUUGAUCACCGUCGCCUACUGUGACGCCGCGACCUCCUCCCUCUUCGCGGAUGGUGCGGCGGCGUUGGUCUGUAGAGGCGCUCCGUGGCCGUCGCGGCAUCCCUCGCCGCCUUUGCCUUUCUUGUGCCGAUGGGCCGGCCUUCCGAUGCCGCCGAAGGAGCGGCUUUUGAGUCACGGGGGGCGUCCUUGGACUUGGCGAGAGCAUUCCGCAUCUCCAUCCACUUGUCGCACAUCUCAAUUCUUGCGAAGACAUGGAUGAACUUGCUACAUGAUGUUUGCCAUGGUUUUCUGGAUUAAAUAUUCAUCGAAAAUACCUAAUUAUUCAACAUUCAUACCAUGAAGAGAAGGAAACAAGCUAAACAGGGUACUUGUGCAGUUAAACUUGAUAUGAUGGAGGCAUAUGAUCGUGUUGAAUGGCCUUUUAUUGAGGCAAUUACGCUCAAGCUUGGUUUCUCGGAGAAAAUGGUGAAGCUGAUUAUGAAGUGCAUCUCGUCAGCUCCUUUUUCAGUUAAAGUAAAUGGGGAAUUACUCGGGGGAUCCGACAAGGGGAUCCAGUAUCACCUUACCUUUUUCUCAUGCGUGCAGAGGGUCUUACAGCUCUUCUCAAUAAUUACACCGGUGGUUUUGUUGAUCGAGGCAUUCGGGUGUGCAACCGGUCGCCGUGGAUUACAAAUCUCCUUUUUGCAGAAGAUAGCCUGAUCUUCAUCAGAGGCGUCUGAACAUGAUUCUUCAGAUGUACAAUGAAGCUUCAGGGCAGCUUAUGAAUAGAGAAAAGAGCAAUAUUUUCUUCUGCCCGGGCAUUCUUGAGGAGACAAGGGAGGCGGUCAAGUUGGAGCUAGAUAUUCCAGUGGAGGCGUUUACUGAAAAAUAUCUUGGUUUGCCAAAAGAAGUUGGAAAACUCGCUGGUGGCUCUUUUGACUAUAUUGCUGAAAGAAUACGAAGUAAGAUAAAUGGUUGGGCAGAGAAGUAACUCUCAUAAGCCAGCAAGGAGGUACUUAUUAAGGCGGUUAUUCAGGCCAUGCCGACAUAUAGUAUGAGUUGCUUCCUAUCGUCGAAAGGACGUGUCAGAAGUUGACAUCACUUGCAUCCAACUUUUGGUGGAAUGGAUCGCUGGACAAGAGGCCGAUGCACUGGCUAGCUUGGGAGAAAAUUGCGAAACCUAAGACUGCUGGUGGUAUGGGUUUUUGAGAUCUUCAACUUUUUAAUCUGGCUCUUUUGGGGAAGCAAGGUUGGAGGCUGAUCUCGGAACCGUAUUCUUGUGUGCGCGAGUUCUUCGAGGGAGAUAUUUUCACAACUCUGACUUCAUGGCUGCUGAAGCGCCAAGAACAACCUCGAAAACUUGGCGAGCAAUUUUGGCCGGCCGUAUAGCGCUAGAGACAUGUCUUAUUAAGAGGAUCGGGAAUGGUUUAUCUGUAUCUGUUUGGCAAGACCGCUGGAUCCCGGGGUCCAUAUCAAUGAAGCCACUCGGCAGGUUACAGGAUAAUGGGAUUGGGUUGGUUAACGACUUGAUUGAGCCCCUGACUUUCAGUGGGAUGUGCAGAGGAUUCGAAGUACUUUUCUUGCGCUUGAUGCCAACCUAAUUAUGCAAAUCCCUCUGCACCUUAGUGCGGGAGAGGAUUGGUGUGCAUGGCAAGGGGAGAAAACAGUGAGAUCGGCGUAUCGAAACUUGGUGUCAGAUCGGGAUCGUCUGGAAGAUGCACAAGCUGGGUCUGCUUCAGUUUCUAGCCUUGGUGCACAGGAGAGCAAUGGAAGCAAUUGUGGUCUUUGAUGUUCUACCGCGGGUACGAGUUUUUUGGCGGCGAGUUUUGCGUGGCAUUUUGCCCGAUUAUGCGACUCUCACCGGGCAACAUGUCAGAGUUGAAAGUACCUGUCCGGUGUGCAAAUCCUCCUCAGAAACUUUGCUGAGGGAGUGUGCUCAUGGCCGGCCUUUUUGGGCGGCGGCAAAGAAUCUGCUCACCGGCUGCAUCCAACCACGUGGACUGCUGAUAAUAUGUGUGAUGAUCAGUUUGAUAAGAGUAGCAGGUGUAUGAUCAUCUCUAUUAUGGCCGCUAUCUGGGACUCGAGGAACAGAUGGGCUCAUGAUGAUGUUGGUUUUGAAGCGACCAAAUCAUGGAAACACUAGCGAUUCUAGAGAAGAAGGCUAAUACGGUCCACCGGCCGGCUUUGUCGAAGGUAAAUUCUGAUGGUGCAAUCCAUACUGACAAAGGUAGAGCGGCGAGUGGUGCUAUUUUGAGAAGUACAGAAAAUUUUAUUGACGCCGGAUUUAUCAAGGAUUAUCAGAUCCGUUGAUUAUCGUGACACUAGCACUGCGUGAUGCUUCUGGAGAAGGGCUUCACCCAUGUUAUGUAGAAACUAACUGAAAAGAGUUGGUUCGUCGAAAUUCUCGUCCAUGCCAGACGCGCGGUGAUUGUCCCAAUCCUUAGUAAGAUGGCUGAGAUUAGUUUCAAUUUUGAGAGUUUUCAUAGCGUCUGUCCGCCGUUCGGCCAAUGAUGGUGCUUCGGCAGAUUGGGAUGCUCCGGCUCCUAGUUUUCUUUUGUCUAGUCUGGAGUCAGAUUGUAAUCAUGCUUGGGUGAGUUAAUAAAGUAAGAAGUUUAACCUAAAAAAAAAGCACCAACUGGACGAUUCACUAGUUCUUCAAGGAUCUUUUUUGUCUUAAAGAACAUUUUCAACCCGAAUACAACUUAAAACAGGCAAUAAAUUUCCCCAGCACCUCUGAACUAACUCAAAUAAAAAACAGGCCCUUAACUCAAUGCGAAAUAGAGAUGCUUUCAUUUUCUCGAUCUUAUAUACAUGGCAGUCUUCAUAUAACUAGCACAACAGGCCCUUGCCCACCCAACACCAGAACUUGAUUGAAGUUCGAGGAACAGGAUUCAGAAUUUCAACUCAUAUAACUAACACAACAAGAACAAGGAAUCGCACAAAAUUAACGUUGGCAAAACAAGUUAAUGUAAAGUACCAAAAUCGGAUAGAAAAGGUAUGGUUCACCAGUAAAUCAAGAAGGCAACCUAGUGCAGAGUUACACAUCAAAAGUCUUUCCAGCGUUUCACAACAUUAUCGACUCUAGUUUCCUGGCCAAAGACUGAUAGUGAAGAUAAAGGAUGACCAAGUACUUAGUCGAAGAGACUGAAGCCCAUGUCCUGCAAGCAGAUUAGCAUAUAAACUGUCACAACUAUUUCUUUGAAAUGGAUCAAAGGAUAGACAUACCAAAAUAAUUGAUGUUGCUAAAAAGGGCAUAAGUGAGAAUGGCUAUCUUACAUCAUCGCUCUCUUCCUUCUCCACGACCUUCUCCUCUUUCUUCUCAGCCGCCGGAGCAGCGCCGCCACCACCACUGGCAGGAGCAGCUGCUGCCACAGCUACACCACCACCACCAGACGGAACUGAAGCAAACUUCUCCCUGCCAGCAGCCAAGAGCUCAGCGAUGUCCUUGCCCUUCACUUGGGACAGCAUGAGUUCCAUCUUUUCAUUGUCGAUUUCACAACCAACUGCUAACAUUAGAAGCUGUCAAUAUAUAAAGAACAUAUAGCUAAUGUUGACUCAGUGUAUAUCACAUAAAACGGAAUAAAAACAAACAAUUGUUACAUUGACUGUAAAUUCAAUACUAAUCAUCAUUUGACCAAACAGUGGUAACACAGUCACAAAUGUAGCAACUAAUACGAACGAUCUAACAGGUCCAAAUGGAACAUAACAGUGUUUAACAUGAUACUAGAAUGAAACAAUAUGAUCUAACUAAUGUUGGUCCCAACAUUAAAUAAAAUAGUUGGUGUUUACGAAAAGAUUAAGUAAUUGGUUAGACAAAUUACCUGACUCCAGAAUGGUUGUCAAGUCCUCUGCGGAGGGGCUGGAGUUGCCAGACAGGUAAGCAAGCAGAUAGGCAGCGAUGAACUUCAUCCUGAACAAAUAACAAGGGAACAUAUUCAGCAAAUGUAAAUAGAUGUAAUUCUCCAUACAUCUGAAAGAAUAGUACAUUCAUAAAAUUAAAUAAGAAUAUAAAUCCGUAAUUAAUGGAGACGCCAGCGUACACGAGUGCUCAGAUGAAUCUAUCUAACAACUAAUCAUAAUAGAGUUUUGGUUCUUAAUCAGCUCAAGAAGCCAAAUUAUCUGCUUGUGAUGGUAAGCAAUCUUUUUUCUGAGGAUAAUGCAAGAUAUUACUAACACAACUUUCCUCUAUGCCUCUCGUGACCGGUCAUGUUUUAGCAAUUGGUUCGUCCAUAUGAGAUCCAUGAAACUCACCGACAAACAUGUAGCAAAUCUACCACAAUAUUCCGAUUGAAUCGAAAACCCCGUGAGUACAAACAACUAAAAACCUCGCGCUGACCGGAAGAACGCCGCGAAACCAUGAGAGCGAGUACCGAGAACAUAGCAAAACUAGCAUCUCAUUUCGCCAAAGCAAAUAGAGUACAUCAUAAUAGUAAUAGUGACAAGAUCAUAGAAACGAGAUAUGCAAAAGGGCAUUAGAAUCGUUACUUGGAUCGGAGAGGGAGAGAGCUGAAGUCGCGGCGGCGGCGGAGAGCUCUAGUGGUCUUCUAGGGUUUCUGCG